UAACCUGCCCCUGAAUUCGGGAUAACGUUGCGAAAGCGGCGCUAAUACCGAAUGAUGUCCGCGAAUCUUCGGGUUUGCGGAUGAAAGAUGACCUCUACAUGUAAGUUGUUGUUUGGGGAUGGGCCCGCGUUACCAUUAACUUGGUUGGGAGGGGUACGGGCCUAACCAAGGCUACGAUGGUUAGCUGGUCUGAGAGGAUGAUCAGCCACACUGGAACUGGAACACGGUCCAGACUCCUACGGGAGGCAGCAGUGAGGAAUUUUGCGCAAUGGGGGAAACCCUGACGCAGCAACGCCGCGUGAGUGAUGAAGGUCUUCGGAUCGUAAAGCUCUGUCAAGAGGGAAGAAGUUGUGUAUGGCUAAUAUCCAUAUGCAUUGACGGUACCUCUGAAGGAAGCACCGGCUAACUCCGUGCCAGCAGCCGCGGUAAUACGGGGGGUGCGAGCGUUAUUCGGAAUUAUUGGGCGUAAAGGGCGCGCAGGCGGCCUGUUAAGUCAGUUGUGAAAGCCCGGGGCUUAACCCCGGAAGUGCGAUUGAUACUGGCAGGCUUGAGUAUGGGAGAGGGAAGUGGAAUUCCUGGUGUAGAGGUGAAAUUCGUCGAUAUCAGGAGGAACACCGGUGGCGAACGCGACUUCCUGGACCAAUACUGACGCUGAGGCGCGAAGGCGUGGGGAGCAAACAGGAGUAGAAACCCUGUUAGUGCCACGCAGUAAACGGUGAUCACUAGUGGUAUCGGGUAUUGACACCUUGCUGUGCCGGAUUUAACGCAUUAAGUGAUCCGCCUGGGGAGUACGGCCGCAAGGCUGAUUAAUUCGAAGUAAGUGACGGGGGCCCGCACAUAACGUNGGAGCAUGUGGUGUAAUUCGGACGCUACGCGAAGAACCUGUACCUGGGUUUGACAUCCCGGGAAUCCGUAUGAAUGUUACGGAGUGCCCUUCGGGGAGCCUUGGGAGACAGGUGCUGCAUGCCUGCCGUUCAGCUCGUGUCGUGAGAUGUUGGGUUAAGUCCCGCAAC
This 1013-nucleotide ribosomal RNA is filed under the name uncultured organism. Its description in RNAcentral is "bacterial SSU rRNA". It matches the Rfam family "Bacterial small subunit ribosomal RNA", at positions 122 to 1093 of the family's 1533-position model. The record is from RNAcentral.